RNAcentral lists this ribosomal RNA (985 nucleotides) under uncultured archaeon. RNAcentral describes it as "partial 16S ribosomal RNA". It matches the Rfam family "Archaeal small subunit ribosomal RNA", at positions 1 to 936 of the family's 1478-position model. The record is from RNAcentral.
UUUCCGGUUGAUCCUGCCGGAGGCCACUGCUAUGGGGGUCCGACUAAGCCAUGCGAGUCAUGGGGCGCGCUCUGCGCGCACCGGCGGACGGCUCAGUAACACGUCGGUAACCUACCCUCGGGAGGGGGAUAACCCCGGGAAACUGGGGCUAAUCCCCCAUAGGCCUGAGGUACUGGAAGGUCCUCAGGCCGAAAGGGGCUCUGCCCGCCCGAGGAUGGGCCGGCGGCCGAUUAGGUAGUUGGUGGGGUAACGGCCCACCAAGCCGAAGAUCGGUACGGGCCAUGAGAGUGGGAGCCCGGAGAUGGACACUGAGACACGGGUCCAGGCCCUACGGGGCGCAGCAGGCGCGAAACCUCCGCAAUGCGGGCAACCGCGACGGGGGGACCCCCAGUGCCGUGGCAUCGCCACGGCUUUUCCGGAGUGUAAAAAGCUCCGGGAAUAAGGGCUGGGCAAGGCCGGUGGCAGCCGCCGCGGUAAUACCCGCAGCCCGAGUGGUGGCCGCUAUUAUUGGGCCUAAAGCGUCCGUAGCCGGCCCGGUAAAUGCCUGGGUAAAUCGUCUGGCCCAACCAGACGAAUUCCGGGUAGACUGCCGGGCUAGGGACCGGAGGAGGGAGAGGGUACUCCAGGGGUAGGGGUGAAAUCAGCAAGGUGAGUUGCUGAUGUAACUUGCCUUGCAAGUCACAAUCCUGUAAUCCCUGGAGGACCACCGGUGGCGAAGGCGCUCUCCUAGGACGGGUCCGACGGUGAGGGACGAAAGCCAGGGGAGCAAACCGGAUUAGAUACCCGGGUAGUCCUGGCCGUAAACGAUGUGGGCUUGGUAUUGGGAUGGCUACGAGCCGUUCCAGUGCCGUAGGGAAGCCGUUAAGCCCACCGCCUGGGGAGUACGGUCGCAAGGCUGAAACUUAAAGGAAUUGGCGGGGGAGCACUGCAACGGGAGGAGCGUGCGGUUUAAUUGGAGUCAACGCCGGGAAUCGUCGACCUGCAA